CCGAACCGUCGACACGAGUUGUUGCUGGUCCUCAAAUGGGGGCAUGUGCACGCUCUGUUUACACAUCCACUCACACCUGUGCACCCACUGUAGUUCUAUGGCCUGGGGGCUCCGCCCUCUUGCCGUGGUUCUAUGUCUUUACACACACACUGUAACAAAGUUUCGUGGAAUGCAUGAUGCGUUUAACGCAAUACAAUA
RNAcentral lists this unclassified non-coding RNA (198 nucleotides) under uncultured Tomentella. RNAcentral describes it as "sequence contains ITS1". Lineage: Eukaryota; Fungi; Basidiomycota; Agaricomycetes; Thelephorales; Thelephoraceae. The record is from RNAcentral.